RNAcentral lists this long non-coding RNA (505 nucleotides) under Helianthus annuus (common sunflower). RNAcentral describes it as "hypothetical non coding rna". Lineage: Eukaryota; Viridiplantae; Streptophyta; Magnoliopsida; Asterales; Asteraceae. The record is from RNAcentral.
UGUUCGAUUCUUAAAGCUUCCAUCAAUGGCGAUGAAUCCCAUCUCCCCUCUGGCUUGUUUUUCGUUUCUUACCUCAAUCAACCAGAUCUUGUGAGAUGGAUAGAAUGUUCAAAAAUCUAGGGUUCAAUGUCAGAACUGCAAGGUGAAAAUGAAGAUUACAGUUGAUUUGAGAUCCUCCCACGAAGAUUCACAAAUAGAUUUGAUUACAAGACCCUAAAAUCGUUCAAGAGUAGACUUUGAUCCAUUCAAGUGAUAAAACUGCUACUCGAUUUGCCAUGUAGACCAGACACCAAACUACCAGGGUUGGUGACGAUGGGCUUUAAGGAUGAAAAAUGUUGAGGUAAUCACAUGGUAAAACCGAUGGCGCACUACUCUUGGAGUGUACAUAUUUCAGUACUAAAAUCACAAGUUUACACAUUCUUAGAGUGGUUUAAUCCAUGUCUUUGACCCGUAUUAUUAUCGUUUGAAGCAAAGUUGGGUAAUCGGAGAUGAUACCAUAAAUGAA